RNAcentral lists this ribosomal RNA (245 nucleotides) under uncultured bacterium. Its description in RNAcentral is "partial 16S ribosomal RNA". It matches the Rfam family "Bacterial small subunit ribosomal RNA", at positions 524 to 768 of the family's 1533-position model. The record is from RNAcentral.
UACGGAGGGUGCAAGCGUUGUUCGGAAUUAUUGGGCGUAAAGAGCGUGUAGGCGGCCGGGUAAGUCAGAUGUGAAAGCCCUUGGCUCAACCAAGGAAGUGCAUUUGAAACUACUCGGCUUGAGUACGGGAGGGGGGAGCGGAAUUCCUGGUGUAGAGGUGAAAUUCGUAGAUAUCAGGAGGAACACCGGUGGCGAAGGCGGCUUCCUGGACCGAUACUGACGCUGAGACGCGAAAGCGUGGGGAG